UGCAAGGAGUAGUUUAAGUAGAAUUUCAGCUUUGGGUGCUGACGGUAGGGCUUAUGCUCUUUCCUU
Molecule: transfer RNA, 66 nt
Filed under: Miniopterus schreibersii (Schreibers' long-fingered bat)
Lineage: Eukaryota; Metazoa; Chordata; Mammalia; Chiroptera; Miniopteridae
Also listed under: 1 other name
Description: tRNA-Pro
Source: RNAcentral